AGGGGUCCAGGCGUUCGGAGACGCUCUCGGCGCCGGGGCUGAAGCUCUCGCAGUCGGAGCCCGCCGGCCCCAGCUCGCCCAGCAGGGAGGGGCACGACAGCGGCGGUCCCGCCAGACUAAACAAGCUCCUUUUGCCUCCCAUGGCAAGAUAAACUACACAGUGCAAGAACACUGGUGGUGGGCACCCCGUCCCUGGAGACAUUCAAGGUUAGGCUGGACGGGGCUUUGAGCAACCUGAUUUUGCUGUGUGCGUCCCUGUUCAGUGCAGCAGAGUUGGACUCGGUGACCUUUAAAGGUCCCUUCCAAAUCAAACGAUUCUGUGAUUCUAUGAUAACACGGAGUGAAGGUCAUUUCGGUAGCCUCGGGUCAGGCACGUGGUGGAGUGAGCUGGAGGAGCUCCGCACAAUGCUGUGAGCCAGCAAGGGGCUGAGCUGACCUCGCUUCUCCUGCUGCUCGGCUGACUUACUGCUUUCCCUGGCCUUGCUAAUGAAGGGCUUUAGGCAAUCAAACAACCAAAUGGUAGCAGCCCAGAGGAUGGAAAACUGCUGGAUUUGUCUCUGCUCUGUGAGAUUUGCUCAGGAGCAGGAGGCUGCGGUGAGGCUUCCUGUGUUGUGCCAUGGGGAGAGAAGGCAGUACACUGUAUCUCUCCCCAGUUUCCUGAAUAGUCAGGCAGUGAUUUCUGUAACAUGCCAGCAUCUCCAAAUGCAAAGUGGUACAGAGCCAGGUUGUUUUUGCUUUAUGCAGGGAAGCGCGUUUGAAAUCUUGUAAUUAUAUGUGUGUUCAAAUUGAACUCUUAGGCGUAUGAGAAGACUGUGCAAUUCUCCGUUUCCCAGUAACUGAUCAAUGCUUUUUAAAUCUCUAGGAAUUGUGAGUUUUGCUGCGGAUUGACUACUGCUAUGAGAUGUGGAGAAUGGAGCUUAUGAAAUUGAUUUUUGUCAGAAGGAAGUGGAAGGGUGAAACGCACAUCUUCCUUUUCUAAAGUUUGAUUGAUGAUGGCUAUUUUGAAGAACGGUAAAAUGGAACAGGAUGGUUUGCAAUCUGCAGUUUUCCAGCUGGAGUCUGGCAACCUUGAUGAAGAGUUUUCUGAUUAUAGGAGUUCUAUAGAAAAUAAGGGAAUAAAAAGUAAUCUAUCACAGAUUACUCUGAUACCAUACCAAAAGUCUUUAUAUCAAGUGAACAAAUUGUGCAUACCCGCAGACAACGUCAAGAAACACCAGAAGGCCUUGAAAGCCCAUGAUGACCUCUGUGUAAUAUACCCAGUUAUCAGAGGCAGACAACAUACAGCCUUCAUAGAAUCAGUUUUGCCAUAAACUAUACUCAAAGAGAAUUGUUGAAUUACAUCAAAUAUGCAACAAUCACCCAAUUUGCUUUUUUUGUUUGUUUUUUUUUUGUUGUUUUUGUUGUUAUUGUUUUUAAAUAAAGCCUUUCAAGAAAACAUGCCUUCCUUAAACAGGAAUUACUGAAUCCCUACUCCUCAACUGCAGAAAACUUGGCUGAUGAGUCAGUUCUGGAUGAAAAGCUGAUGAGCACCGAGAAAUGCUAAUGUGGGAAAAAUUCUAUUCAUUUUUCCUCUGCUAUAAGUCAUCAUCAAUGGCGCUGUUGAACGUUCAUCUGUGAUUUAAGAAGGGAGAGGAGAAAAGAGCCGAGUGCCUUCCUGGCUGCACGUUAAGCUCUCUGGAAGGAAAUGGACAGAGUUCAGGUCCUCACAUCCUUCAAGCAGGACAUGAGGCUGUGAAGCACCCUUCUGGCUGAAGGAACAUCUUGCCCCUGCAUCUUCUCCUGGGCUGGAGCUGGAUGCAGCACUCUUGUUGCGACGGUCAGUUGGCACACAGCAUUAUCUGCCAGCAGUAUGUGGCUCUCCCAUCCCCAAGGAGGAAGGUCUUUACUCUUGCAGUUCCCCUGCUUGCCACUGAGAUUUCAGCUUCUGGCAGAGCUGAGCUGUACUGCACUCAACACGGUACGGAUUUCCUAUGCAAUCACCAGCAGUGUGGUGCAGAGAUCCUUUGGUUGCACAAAUGCUUUCUGUUGUGAUGUAUGCCGGUUGCAGUAUGCCAGCAUUGCAGUUAAACAGUUUGGAAGUGCAGAGUCAUUACCAAACUGUGGAAUUUCUUCUCCAGCACAAACUUCUUGUCUUCAUCGUGUAUGAAGAAAACAAUUUACAGAAAUAAAUACCUGCUUCCCCAUUGCUGAAAACCACACAUCAAGGAAACAAAUUCAAGAAGAAACACCGGCUUUGUUGCCAGGAUUGAUUACAGGGUGGUAACUGUUCCAGUGUCAAAUCUGUAUUAAAAUUAUAACAUUGUUUUACAGAUUUUGUUUUUCAUUUGUGUUGAUAUGAAUUGCAAAGCUAGACCUUCUAAUUCCCUGUGGAUUCAGCAACCUCUAUACACUAAUCCUCUUACUGCAUCUUUGGCUCUUCCAUCCUCUGCUACCUAUUUUUUUGUUUUUUUAAAAGGAAGAGAGCUUCAUUUUCAGUUAGAUGCUAAUGCACUGAAAGAUUCUCUUCCAGAACUGUAGUAAUCCUUCCAUGUAAUUAUUUCAUUUUAUCUUUUAGGCUCGUAUGGCUUCUUAAACCCAUUUUGUUUCAGAGCCUUACAACUCCUGGAGGUACAGUAUUCAUCACUACUGAUAGAGAUGGAUUAUGGUGGAUCCAUUAAGCUGUAGCCAACGCAGAGACUUGGAUGCAAUGUUUUUACACGCUAUAUAACCCUAACCAGCACGGCUGGCAUAUUUUGAAAUGACCCAGGAGAUCCAAACAUUUUUAGUAUCAGUUUUUCGUGAGGUUUGUCAUCUCCCUCUGAUUCACUUGGAAGCGUCUCAGCCAAGUGCCUGUUGAAGGGCCGUACAUGAAGGCCUUUCACUAAAGCUGAGCAUAUUUUUCUUCCAUACCACACAUUUGGCAACAAAGCUGGCUGAGAAAGUGCAUUCUGCUUCUCCCUUAUAUACGUCACUUCUGUAUGCUAUGCUGCCCUGUGACUCUGAGGCUGCCCUGGCAACCGGGAGAUGGCAAUGCUCUUCAUUAAACAGGAAUUAUGCCUUAAGAAUGUCAGGUACUGCUUCAAGGCAGUAAGAGUCUAUCUCAUAAAUGCGUAGUUUACUUGUGAAUGAAUAUGAUGUGAGAACAGCGCCGUGGAAGAUAAAGUUUCAAAAUAUGUUACUGAUAAUUUAUAUCAGUACAGAGUCAGUGCUAUCAAUGGCUGCAGCUACAGUAAUUUACAAGAAGUAUGAGCACAGAUGCACAUUAUGCACUUUGAGGGAAUUAUUUAACUUUAUUUCUUGAACUUGAAAAGUGUGUCUUGUUAAAAGUAAACGUAGAAAUCCUCCAAGGAGCUUAAUAAAAUAAAGCCAUAUUGUCAGGAUCAACCUAGAAGGUAGUACUAAAGCAGCCAUCUCAGCAGUGGAAGUGUAGUUGUAGGGCCGUGCAUGAAAUUAAGAAUGCUUUUAGCAAUACAGUAGGACAACAUGAAUGAACCCAGUAUAGAAGAAUGAGUCUAAACAAAAUAUUCAGAACAGUGAGGCCAACCUGCAGCCUAGAGGUGAUAGGGCUCCCCAGGCAAUGACCAGGUUGUGGUGAGGCCCUGCCUCACGCCCUCUGUAAGUCUUUGCAGAACCUGAUGUGGUGCAGGUGGGGAGCAGCUACCAUUUCAGCAUGCAGAUUUCAGUGAGAUAAAGAACCAUUCUGCACCGUAAGCUUUGCAGAUGUUGGCCAGGGCACAGCAAAUCGUGGUCACAGGUAUUUAUUUGACAUCCAAACUGUUUCAGCAGCAUUGUUCUGCUUUCAGCUUCCCAAAGGUGCCCUGUGUUGUUCUGUGAAUGCCACAAACAGAGCUGAAUACUCUGUGCGACUUCACCAGCUCUGGCAGGAGUGAAGAUAACCAGGUUCCCCAAAGGAGCACAAAUUCUGCUUGCUACAGCAGAAUAGUCUCAUCUUUUCCAGGUGCAUAAUGCCCAGCUACCAUCACCGGUCCAUGCUCUCCGUAGUACCAAGCACCCAUGACCUACCUAUUGCACAGAUCGAGAUGCAUUUUGUGGAUAAAAUUUUCCUUGGCCUCUUGUGCUGACAGGUGAUGAACUUGUGAAAACCUUUGUACAGCUGAGGUCUGCGGCGCUUUGAAAGUCAGCUAGAUUUUUAGGAACUCUACAUCUGCCAACAGACAGGGGUAAGCCACCUUCAUAACAGGAUCGCUUCAGCUUCUGCCUGUCUGGUGCAUUUCUUUGGCACACCAGGCAGCUCCAUCCUGCAUCAACAGCAGGCCUGGAAUUCAUGCUGUGCAAAAGUAACCUUUCAAGCAUGAAUUUCUGACAAAGGUGGUUGCCCAGAGCAAACGGUGAAGGCUUUUCUUGCAGAGAUGAAAAGGUGGAGAGAGGGAACCAGCUUGGCAGCUGGGGCAGUAAGCAAUCAGUGUUGUGUUUUGUUUUGUUUAAAAAGUGUUUGAAGUUUUUCCUGUGCAGCUGACUUGUGUUGCAGCAGAGAAGACCUCACCAUGGAGCGUUUCUCCCCAUCAUCUGCAGACGGGCUGCUGGCAGCACUCCCAUCCACAAUGAUCUAGCACAGCUGGCCUGCCAGGAUUUCUGUCUGAUAGCUGAAUAUUUUGUGUCAUGAAGUUCUUGGCUGCCCUUUUAUACUUUCUCCAUGUUACAGUGCACAAGAACCUCCAGCAGAUUCUCGGGUGAUGGGCAGGAAACCAUUUACCACGUCCUUCCUCCAAGCUAUGGCAUUGCUUUCAAAAAGCAUAAUCUAAUUGCUAGAAUCUGAGGAUUUGUCUUUGCUUGCUUUAGCCAGAGAUGCCAUCAGGCGUGGCUCCUCUCCAUCGCAUACCCUGAGAAGAAAGGUAUUGCAUCAUUGCAUGCACUGCCUCUUGCUGGCUGCAGUUCUCCAUUCUCCAGCACAUGCAGAAAGUAGUGGCUCAGAGGCUGUGCUGACUCUCCCUCCAUCCUUAGUGCCACAGAACAAUUUUUGAAGGAAGUGAUCAUGCUGAGCUAGUGUGGCUGUGGAGUAAUGGAGGCCACACAGGCAUGAUUUUGCUGGAGAUGAAGGAGGCCACGUUGUUUGGAAAGCCUCCACAUGAAGCUUGGAGCAAACACACUCACUGCAGAGGAGAGGUGUACCUCUCCCAGGGAGUAACAGGUGAGCCAGAACGUGCUGAGAUGGAUGCUUUUCUUUGCUGUAACAUCUCCUUGCUGUCACGCCUCAAGCAGAAUCAUUGAAGAGGUUGGACUGAAGAGACCCUGGAGGUCAUCAUUCUGUGAGCACCAAAGUGAGAUCACAUCGCCCAGGGCCUCGCUGUACACGAGGCACAAGUCAGGCAGGGCUUUGCAGGCUGAAAUUAGCAGCCUGACUCACAGGACAAAAAACUCGUUGUCAGUGAGAUGGCUGCUGAAUGCACGUAACGACAGAUUGUCAAACACGUAACCAACCAACCGCUCCUUUCUUUCAGGAGCUGAGGAGUGGAAAUCAUUUGUGACAUUUCCAAUCUACGUCCUCUCAGGAGCAUAAAGGUGACUGCAGAGGAUGAAACACUGGUCUUGCCAACAGCGUCCUGCUGAAGGAGGCUGUCACUGCAGCAUGCCAAGCGGACAUGCAAGCAGCACGCUGGCAGGCAGUGUGGGACAAGCAGCUCUAGAAACCUUUCCCAAAACUGCUGCAAUGGGAGGCUGGCUUCUCCCCAGAAGCCCAAGAGUGUAAAUCCUUUCCAGAGCCCCUGUUUAUUUUUAUGUAUGUAUUACUAGCCCUCCAGCCCUCUUUCAAAUCCUGCUAAGCUUUUGGUUGUGAUGACACUCAAGAGGAAUGGAUUCCACAGAGUAAUUGCAUGCCAUGCAAAAAUUUAUUUCCUUUUUAUCAGUUUUAAAAGCUUCCCUUUUCAAUGUAAUUGAACGUUCCCUUGUGUUUAUACUGUGAAAGCGAAACCAGCAGCGUAUGUUUAUGAGGGCAUUUGCUGGACAGAGGCUGAGCCUGGCUUCCCACAGCUCCAAGCCAGGGGAAAUCACGCAGAGAAGAAUAAGCAAAUCAAUGGUUCUUUUAAUCAAACUCAACAGUAAUUUGCAACAAAAGGAAAAUCUUAUUCUUGAGCAUUUUCAUGGGAAAAUUAAUCCUUAUAACAGACAAAAGAUUUUUGCUUUUUUUUUUUUUCUUUCCUAUUUGCCAUCCAGGAAUGAUUUCAUACGUUUUCACCCUCACCCUGUCCUUUUGUUCCAGCUGCAAAAUGUACACACAAACACCUCUUACUAAAGAGGCUAAUUAAGCACAUGAUCCCUUUUCCCUUCUCAUAAAAGCUGCUGGAGAGCAACCCAAGCAACGUCCUUAAUACAGCUGUGCUCGGAAAGCUCCUUCCUUGGCAAGGGAAGGGCACUUGUGAUGGCAAGACAAGUCUGUUCCCACAUUUCCUGAUGUGCUGGGGUCACAUCACACGUUCAAGCACUGCUUUAACAGGGAAUAGAAACAUGGGCAGAAGUGUUUUUUUUUUGGUGUCACUACAUUUCAGCAGAUGUUGCAGGCUCAAUUAUCCCGGCACUUCAGCUGUAACAUUGCAUUUUCUCUAAGCUCCAUUUAUUUGGCUGAAACCCUUUCGUUGGAAGACACUGCCUUCUGUAGCUGGAGCUUCAGCACAGCAGAGCUUGACAGCUACCUUUGGUAAGCAAAUUUAUCUUUUGGGAUUGACUCCACAGCCCAGCUACAAAUCACGUUUGACAUACAGCUGAACAAAACAAGUUUCUUAACGUGGAGUAUAAUACACCUGCCCAUUCUAGGCUAUCCAAUGCUUUAAUGUGGGCUCAUUAGUCACAAAGAAUAAGUCAGCGUUCAGAUAAACUACACUUCUGCAAGGCAGGAAAAGUCUACGUUCAGCAUCCUCACGGGAAAGGUGAGCAUCUCUGCGUGUCGGGAAACAACGUGACACAUCCCACAGCUCCUGAGUCACAGCUGGGAAAUGCAGCACAGCAGUUAUUCCAUUCUGAGGUCGACUGUGAUGAGCUGUGUUGGAGUGGUGGGCAGUUUUAAGAAAUGGGGAUCACUUCUUUCAUUCUGACUUCCUGCCUUUGCCGACUCUAUAAGCAUACCGUGGUCACCUUGCUUUCCUGCCUUGCUUUGUGAAAGAGAACUGGGCAUUUGUAAUAUGUAUAACAUAAACAUUUUAAACACUUUCUGAGGAGCACAGGUAAUACAGUGUAAAUGAAGUUGAAAAUAACUGGGAAUGAUGAGCCAGACAAAUAAUACAGGAAUCAGCCAAAUGCUAAGCGAGCAAGGUAAAGCAAAUGCUUCAAGAGAAUCAUUUUCUUUUGAAAUCUGCCCAAACACAGAAUACAUCUCUCUCCUGUCCCCUGCUUUAUGAGCACACGUACAUGUUGAUUGGUAAGAAAGCAAGAGCUGCCACUGUACCGCACUGCGAUCUAUAGCAAGAUGUGGCAGCUUUCCUCUAUUCCUUACCAGAAAUUCAGUAGAGCGACAAGGAGAGGGGACACAUUAAAGUUUUAUUACUUCAGUGGCAGUAUUCUCCAGAGAAAACAAUAAUAAAUUCCCUACACUGUGGCUGUCUAAAUAGAUUAUCCAACAAUUAUUAUUAAUUAUUAAUCAUCCAGUGACUCAGAAGCCACCCCGUGGCUGCCUACUGCAAGAAUCCUACAGCUUUUGCAACCUAAUGAUAUGAUUUUCCAAAUUACAAUGUUGCAGUGCUAAACCAUAUGAAAGGUUAAUGGGAGAGGGAGUGAUGAAGUGAUACAAACGUCUAAAAUUGUACCUUGACUUGCUGGCAGUAGGUUGUGAAAAAGCAACCCAAGCAAAUUCAGCAGAAAACUAGUUAACUUAAGGAUUAUUACAAGAACUGAAGUGGGAGUUGAAGGCGUUUUAAAGGGUCUGUGGAUUUGUGAAAAUACCUUAAAAUAGUCCAGGAGGCAAAAAAAUCUUUUUUCUUCUGUUACCAAAGAGCACCUUUUCCAACCCAGCAUACAAGUGGCAAGGCUGAGUGCUGUAAUUCACAUCACCUAUGCGCAUCCUUGGCUGCCCAUGUUUACCACAAGAUUGAUUUCUCAUUCUUAAGCACAUUUGUAACGUCUGUGCAAAUGAAUGUAGGACACAUCCCAACAAGAUCAAUAUUUAUGCAGCCUACUUUGGAAAGAACAAGAGAGUUGCUUCAGCGCAGCAGGGGACCUACUCAUUGGCUUUCCUGCAGUUUCCUCUUUUCCUCCUAUUCCACACAGUUUUCCUGCUGAGUGCUCACUGCUGAUUAAAAGUAGUGCUAACGAAAAAAGUAGUGAAGGCUGCCUGGAGCAGUGGGACCCCAUAGGGACACACAGCCAAAUGCAGCACCCAUAGCUCCUGUCCGCUGCUUCCUCCAGCCCCAUCCAUCUGCUUCUCUGUGGCUCACGGCUGUUCACACUUCAUGCCACUUGCAAAAGAGCAGCAAUCAAUUAUCCUAAUUAAAUGCAACAAUGGAAUAUUGAAUACCGUGGUUUAUUUCCUGCUCUAAAGGUUCACGUCUUUAAUGUGUGCUUUCCUCACGUUGCUUGUCACAGCUGAUCUCGUACGUUCAUUUUGUGUUAUAAAGAGAGAGGGGAGACUGAAUGGUACCCGCAAUCAAUCAAAAGGCAGAAAGGGAGCAUUAAAACAUGCCAACCUUUGCGCAGUGUGCUGAUGUUGAAAAGCAUCCCCACCUGCAUUUUUUCCAGCUCUCAAGUCCCUGGCUCUCAGGAGGCUGCAUCUUCACCAAUCACUGGCAGAAGGUGGCUGUAUGAAUUGUCUUCUUUCUGCCCUAUUUAUCAGGAGACUUUUUUUUACCCUGACUUGAAUAAAGUUAGAGGCCCUCAAGUUCAUCUACUGGUAUGGGUUUCUGCAGAGCUGUACGUGCCUUUAAAAAUAAGUUGGAGUUCAAGAUCAGUAGCUUCACCGUAUCCAUACCCUCUGAUUCACAGAGCUGGUUUAAUUCUCCAUCUCAUAAAGCACACAUUGCAGAUAUAAAACCCAUUCCCAGCAAGCAUUAUUUUUUUUUCCAAGGGACUCCACCACGAUUCUAGCAUUACAAACUCCAGGUUAUUAAUGAGCCUUCAUUUCCAUGGCUGUACCACUGAAAUGCAGCAUUAGCAAAUAGCACGUUGAAUGCCUCUGCUGUAAAUAGUUCAAUUUUCCCGAGUAGCUAACUAGGCAAUAAGAUCCCUGUCACUUUUAUGUUGACAAAGUAUCUUAGUUACUAAGUAACUAUAGAGAUGUUUCCCUCCUGCUUGACGUAAUUACAAAAUGCCUUUCAUUAGCUGGUGAAAAUGUUCGGGCUCAAAGCACAAUUCCUACAGCACGCUUCCCUGUUUGCAGGGAAUGCAACUUACGGUGACCUAUAUCAGCUAAGAAGAUUUCCUGCUUAUUUCCCCAUGCCUAUAGCCCCUUACAUCCAGGCUGCAGCUGCCUCCCAAACUGUGAGCUCAGCCCCCAUUGGUUAUGCUGCAUCCCUGAUCCCCAGACAGACCUCUCUCAGCCGGUGUGGGCUUCGUCCUUGGUGCUGGCUGAAGCUUUGGCCCACGGAAGCUGGGGCUCUGCAGCCUGGGCCUGCACACAUCCCACUCAGGGUUAGCAUAUUACAGGCACCAUUUGAUCAUAUUUGUGAUACAGCAGAAAUUGUAAUACUUAAACAGUACUGAUGUAGUUUCAGCAGAUGCUUUUUCCUCGAUGCUAGGAGGUGACAGAGGCUCCACCACCUUCCAGACUGGCUGUGCCUCACCCUGCUGCCCCAACUGGCUGUACAUGUUAGAUUUUCCCCCAGUGACUAGCCUGAAACUUCCUCGCUGCCUCACAGGCAGAGCAGGGCAAUUCUGUUCCUCUCUUUGGCAUGUUGCAAUGGCCUCCUUUCCUCCUUCAGGCAGGACUACAGCUAAAGGCAGCUUUACUUGUCCUCCAUCACGUCUUACAGAUGACUGCUUGCAGCUCGGACUUUGUUAGCCAGGUCUCCAGGUAUCCGAGGUCAGAGUAUAGCCGCCAGCCUGCAAAUAACUGACUUCUGUAUCGCUGCCAAUGCACAAAUAGCUAACUUCUGCACAACAUCCUCUGCCUUCCUUGCUAGGGGCACCUGCCCUCAUCCUUUUGCCAUUGCUGUUAAUUGCAUCAUCCACCCACAGGCAGCUGAUGCUUCAGGGAAAAGAAGUCAAACAUAAAAAGCACUGGGCGUCUCUCCCACCAAAAGGAAAGCCGCCAAAAAUCUCCCAUUUCAGCACAUUUAUCCACCAUUCCUGCCAGUACGGCUGCUCUGUGGCUACUGGCAGUCCCAAUACCUCAUGCUAGUGGCACCUGGUUUCCACCUCAUUCUUCUCCACUCCUGUACACUGGGGCUAUGCUUGGAAUGCAGCUCACCAGCCCGGUGUGUCUUCUGCCCACUCCUCCCACCUGGGCUGGAGAUGGAUGAGGACAACAGCUAGAGGGAGCGAGUGGGGGCAGCAAGCUUUGGGGCCACUCACAAACCCAGUAAUCAACCAGCUGGUUCCACAGUAAUCCACCUUUUCUUCCUUCUCUUUGGAUGAUAAAUGAAAAAGAAACUUACAUCAACACGGAGGUGCUCUCUUCCUUGUUUACAGAGAUCCCUAUCUGCAGGCAAUGGCAGCCUAUAAACUCUGUCUGCAGCCCAAGGGAUCGUGCCAGGUCCUUACAGAGUGUGCAGUAAGAGUAGUGCCACUGGGCAAACACAUCCCUCUUUACUCCAAUUAGUAUCACUGCCAAAAAAAAUAAAAGAAAAAAAUGUUUAUCAGUCUAUGGAAGAUUUGUCCCUUUUGCUUCAGGCUCCACCUAUCCAUGGAGUUAAACAUUUGUCAGUGCCUGUGCAGCCAGAGAGCUGAACAAAAGCUGAACAUUUCCAAAAAGAAGCCAGCUCACACUGCCAGAAGAUGCGGUGCUCAAAGGAAAUUAAGAUGAGCAAGACUGCAAAACUGAGAUGCCUGCGCUUGCAAAUUGCUUGCAACAGGUCCAACAAUUACCUGCCUGGUGCUGUUGUUUUACCUUUUGCCUACCACUGGGUAUGCAGUUAAGCUCAUUAAAGUGUGGCAUUGAGUCACCUCAUUUGUCUGCAGCUACUUAUUGGCCAUUAUAAUAACAAUUGUGUGAUACAUGCGAAAGCACGCCAACAUCAUGUGGAUGCCUUCCUCCUGGAAGCAUUCAAGGCCAGCAGAUGGAACUUUGAGCAACCUGGUCUAGUGAGAGGUGACCCUGCCUAUGGCAGGGGGUUGGAACUAGAUG
Lagopus muta (rock ptarmigan) is the source of this 11203-nucleotide long non-coding RNA. RefSeq lists it as uncharacterized. The transcript is spliced from 3 exons. The record is from RefSeq and is a predicted model, not a curated record. Lineage: Eukaryota; Metazoa; Chordata; Aves; Galliformes; Phasianidae.